GUUGGUUAUUCCUUAGGCGGUUUACUAACAUUUGAAGCCCUGACUGUUGCUGCAGUUGGGGCUUUGUUC
Molecule: non-coding RNA, 69 nt
Filed under: Klebsiella aerogenes
Lineage: Bacteria; Pseudomonadati; Pseudomonadota; Gammaproteobacteria; Enterobacterales; Enterobacteriaceae
Source: RNAcentral